GACGAACGCUGGCGGCGUGCUUAACACAUGCAAGUCGAACGAAGAGCGAUGGAAGCUUGCUUCUAUCAAUCUUAGUGGCGAACGGGUGAGUAACGCGUAAUCAACCUGCCCUUCAGAGGGGGACAACAGUUGGAAACGACUGCUAAUACCGCAUACGAUCUAAUCUCGGCAUCGAGGAUAGAUGAAAGGUGGCCUCUACAUGUAAGCUAUCACUGAAGGAGGGGAUUGCGUCUGAUUAGCUAGUUGGAGGGGUAACGGCCCACCAAGGCGAUGAUCAGUAGCGGGCAGGAGGGGAGGAGCGACCACAUUGGAGUGGAGACCGGCCCGAGACCCAUAGGGGAGGCAGCAGGGGGGAUUCUCCGGCAAGGGACGAGGGUGUGAGGGAGCAGCGCCGGGUGGGGGAGGAGGCCUUUGGGGUUGAAAAGCUUGUUUAAUCGGAAGGAAAGGUCUUCUGGCGAAUAGGGAGAGGGAUGGAGGGUACGGAAAAAGAAAGCCAGGGCUAAUUAGGGC
RNAcentral lists this ribosomal RNA (510 nucleotides) under uncultured bacterium. RNAcentral's name for it is "partial 16S ribosomal RNA". It matches the Rfam family "Bacterial small subunit ribosomal RNA", at positions 28 to 508 of the family's 1533-position model. The record is from RNAcentral.